Molecule: long non-coding RNA, 349 nt
Filed under: Oryza brachyantha (malo sina)
Lineage: Eukaryota; Viridiplantae; Streptophyta; Magnoliopsida; Poales; Poaceae
Description: long non-coding RNA (OBRA_LNC003553)
Source: RNAcentral
GUCAGACCCAAAGAAGUUCAGACUGAAUACUACUGAAUAUUGAAUCAGAGGAAAGCAGACAGGAGGGCUAGGCCUAAAUUACAUCAACGACUGAGAUGGAAGCGGGAUGGGAUUACGAAGAUCUGACGGCUGUGAUCAGGAUCGGCUACUGUUUACGUCAUCUACGUUGUCGUUUUCAUCUAAUAAUCCUAUUUAAAACACUGUUUAGCUCUAAUUGAGCAUUAGCUUGUAAUCAGAGAAAAACACUUUAUAUAUAGCCGAUGCGGCCGAGAGGGGAAGCAUUUGAACCCUAAAAGUAUUCUCUAUCUUGUAGUUUAGGUUAAAUUAGUUUGUCUUGCGGCGACCACCC